This 301-nucleotide ribosomal RNA is filed under the name uncultured bacterium. Its description in RNAcentral is "partial 16S ribosomal RNA". It matches the Rfam family "Bacterial small subunit ribosomal RNA", at positions 509 to 807 of the family's 1533-position model. The record is from RNAcentral.
CAGUCGCCGCGGGAAUACAGAAGGUGCGAGCGUUAAUCGGAUUUACUGGGCGUAAAGCGUGCGUAGGCGGCUUCUUAAGUCGGAUGUGAAAUCCCUGAGCUUAACUUAGGAAUUGCAUUCGAUACUGGGAAGCUAGAGUAUGGGAGAGGAUGGUAGAAUUCCAGGUGUAGCGGUGAAAUGCGUAGAGAUCUGGAGGAAUACCGAUGGCGAAGGCAGCCAUCUGGCCUAAUACUGACGCUGAGGUACGAAAGCAUGGGGAGCAAACAGGAUUAGAUACCCCUGUAGUCCCUGUCUCUUAUAC